This 477-nucleotide ribosomal RNA is filed under the name uncultured bacterium. RNAcentral's name for it is "SSU rRNA". It matches the Rfam family "Bacterial small subunit ribosomal RNA", at positions 26 to 521 of the family's 1533-position model. The record is from RNAcentral.
AGGAUGAACGCUGGCGGCGUGCCUAACACAUGCAAGUCGAACGUCCUGUCUCGCAAGAGGCAGGGAGUGGCGGACGGGUGAGUACCACGUGGGUCAUCUACCGUGAGGUGAGGAAUACCGGCGAGAAAUCGCCGACAAGACCGCAUAGGCUCGAUGCAAGUCGAGCAAAGCUCUUUCGAGAGAGGGAGCGCCACACGAGGAGCCUGCGCCCGAUUAGCUAGCUGGUGGAGUAACGGUUCACCAGGGCGACGAUCGGUAGCUGGUCUGAGAGGACGAUCAGCCACACUGGGAUUGAGAACGGCCCAGACUCCUACGGGGGGCAGCAGUGAGGAAUUUUCGUCAAUGGGGGCAACCCUGAACGAGCAACGCCGCGUGCAGGAAGAAGGUUUUCGGAUCGUAAACUGACUUUUCUCGGGGAAGAGAAUGGACGGUACCCGAGGAAUCAGCCCCGGCUAACUACGUGCCAGCAGCCGCGGU